GGAACAGCCACUGGGAAGGCCCCUUUGGCAGACACACUUUGACUUGUUACCGUAAGCGUCGUAUAAAUAUACCAGCAAUGAACUUAGACACUGCUGUGGAUAACUUUUCGUUCCAUCAGGCUUUCUAUGAGGGAAUAUUGUAGCCUUGUAGAUGACGAAGAAGAAAAAUAGCUGGGUGUGAUGUGGAUACUGAUGUUCAAGUAACCUCUAAAGCUAGACAUCAAGUGAGGGUGGGGGCAGGA
Long non-coding RNA from Podarcis raffonei (Aeolian wall lizard), 242 nucleotides. RefSeq lists it as uncharacterized. Lineage: Eukaryota; Metazoa; Chordata; Lepidosauria; Squamata; Lacertidae. The transcript has 3 exons. The record is from RefSeq and is a predicted model, not a curated record.